UCCCUGAUGGCUCACUUGGUAAAGAAUCUGCCUGUAAUGCAGGAGAUCCCAGUUCGAUUCUUGGGUUGGGAA
This 72-nucleotide transfer RNA is filed under the name Bos taurus (domestic cattle). It matches the Rfam family "tRNA". From Rfam's summary of the family: Transfer RNA (tRNA) molecules are approximately 80 nucleotides in length. Their secondary structure includes four short double-helical elements and three loops (D, anti-codon, and T loops). The record is from Rfam by way of RNAcentral. RNAcentral also lists the same sequence under 5 other names. Lineage: Eukaryota; Metazoa; Chordata; Mammalia; Artiodactyla; Bovidae.